This 74-nucleotide transfer RNA is filed under the name bacterium. RNAcentral describes it as "tRNA-Val". It matches the Rfam family "tRNA". Rfam says of the family: Transfer RNA (tRNA) molecules are approximately 80 nucleotides in length. Their secondary structure includes four short double-helical elements and three loops (D, anti-codon, and T loops). Further hydrogen bonds mediate the characteristic L-shaped molecular structure. tRNAs have two regions of fundamental functional importance: the anti-codon, which is responsible for specific mRNA codon recognition, and the 3' end, to which the tRNAs corresponding amino acid is attached (by aminoacyl-tRNA synthetases). tRNAs cope with the degeneracy of the genetic code in two manners: having more than one tRNA (with a specific anti-codon) for a particular amino acid; and 'wobble' base-pairing, i.e. permitting non-standard base-pairing at the 3rd anti-codon position. The record is from RNAcentral.
GGGCGUUUAGCUCAGUUGGUUAGAGCGUCGCAUUUACACUGCGAAGGUCCAAGGUUCGAAUCCUUGAACGCCCA